Molecule: ribosomal RNA, 765 nt
Filed under: Fukomys damarensis (Damara mole-rat)
Lineage: Eukaryota; Metazoa; Chordata; Mammalia; Rodentia; Bathyergidae
Description: partial 12S ribosomal RNA
Rfam family: Bacterial small subunit ribosomal RNA
Source: RNAcentral
UCCCCAAGCCAGUGAGGAUGCCCUUUAUAAUCGAUUCCGAUAAAAAGGAGCAGGUAUCAAGUUCGCACAAAAGUAGCUCAUAACACCUUGUAAAACCACACCCCCACGGGUAACAGCAGUGAUAAAAAUUAAGCUAUGAACGAAAGUUCGACUUAGUCAUGCAAUACAGUUAGGGUUGGUAAAUCUCGUGCCAGCCGCCGCGUCAUACGAUUAACCCGAAUUAAUAAACAAUCGGCGUAAAGAAUGUUUAAGAUUAUAACAAAACUAAGAUUAAAUCUUGUCUAUGUCGUAAAAAAUUAUAGAUAAGACGAAACUCAAUAAACGCAGGUAAUCCUAUAAUAUCUGAACACAUGACAGCUUGGAUACAAACUGGGAUUAGAUACCCCACUAUGCCAAGCCGUAAACACAAAAUAUUAAAUAGAACGGAAAAGUUUCGCCAGAGAACUACUAGCCACGGCUAAAAACUCAAAGGACUUGGCGGUGCUUCACACCCACCUAGAGGAGCCUGUUCUGUAAUCGAUAAACCCCGAUAAACCUCACCACUUUUUGCUAAUACAGCCUAUAUACCGCCAUCUUCAGCAAACCUUAACAAAGUAAAAAAGUGAGCACAAUCACAAACAUAAAGACGUUAGGUCAAGGUGUAGCCAAUAAAGUGGAAAGUAAUGGGCUACAUUUUCUUGACGAAGAACAUUUAAACGAAAGCUAUUAUGAAAUUCAAUAGCACAAGGAGGAUUUAGUAGUAAAUUAAGAAUAGAGAGCUUAAUU